Molecule: ribosomal RNA, 449 nt
Filed under: uncultured bacterium
Lineage: Bacteria
Description: bacterial SSU rRNA
Rfam family: Bacterial small subunit ribosomal RNA
Source: RNAcentral
AUUGAACGCUGGCGGCAUGCCUUACACAUGCAAGUCGAACGGCAGCGGGCCUUCGGGUGCCGGCGAGUGGCGAACGGGUGAGUAAUGCAUCGGAACGUGCCAUUGAGUGGGGGAUAACGUAGCGAAAGUUGCGCUAAUACCGCAUAUUCUGUGAGCAGGAAAGCAGGGGGACCGCAAGGCCUUGCGCUCUUUGAGCGGCCGAUGUCAGAUUAGCUAGUUGGUGAGGUAAAGGCUUACCAAGGCGACGAUCUGUAGCGGGUCUGAGAGGAUGAUCCGCCACACUGGAACUGAGACACGGUCCAGACUCCUACGGGAGGCAGCAGUGGGGAAUUUUGGACAAUGGGGGCAACCCUGAUCCAGCCAUGCCGCGUGAGUGAAGAAGGCCUUCGGUUGUAAAGCUCUUUCGGCCGGGACGAAACGGUUUACGUACCUAAAUACGUGAGACUACU